This is a long non-coding RNA of Anneissia japonica, 809 nucleotides long. RefSeq lists it as uncharacterized. NCBI's taxonomy places the organism in Eukaryota, Metazoa, Echinodermata, Crinoidea, Comatulida, Comatulidae. The transcript is spliced from 3 exons. The record is from RefSeq and is a predicted model, not a curated record.
UAUUCUAGAAAUUUAAUUAACAUAUUUUAUAAAGACCAAACGUACCCAAUGCUACACCCGUACAAUUAACAUAGGUACAAUUAAAUUUGAACCAAUUUAUUCAGGUUAAUUGUUUUCUUUAACUUUAACACAUUAAUCUAUAUGUAUAAAUCUACGUAGUCACCGUCAUCAUCCAUGCAUUUAUAAUGAGUCUUAGCCACGAAUAAAAUUUACUGAUUCGUCAACAAGCGUCAUGUGACAAUUUAUCUACGCGAACGCGCGCAACCGUUGACCGAUUGCCACUUUGCGCCUGUUUUUCGUUGAAUGAUGUAGGCUAUGUGACGUCCAUUUUAUGAAUUCAACUUCUGCUGAUACUUUUAGGCUAGAAACCCUAACUUUUAAUCUGAUCGUAUACAAUUUUAUGAAACUAUGGAAGUUACCAAUGACAUGAGGGAAUAAAGUUCAACAGCAUUUAGGCAAGUCCACCGUUCUUCUGUAAAGGCACCCUGUAUGUAUAAUUAAAUACGAAACUUAAGCAAGUUUGUAAUGAAGAAGAUGUAGUUGCCAGAAGAGAUGACAACGAUGAGGACGACAGCAAUAUUAUGUGAAUGCGUUUGAUUUGUAGCACAUCCUCUUUAUUGGUUCUGAUACAACAUUCUACUUUGCCAAUGGUUCCAUUGUGACAGAACAGCUAUGAAUUUCCUCUGUCAAGGCUUGAUUCAGAGAGAGUGCAGCCAUCUGCUUUUCUCAAUAUCCAAGAUUUUUAAGUGUGCACUAUGGAGUUUUGUACACUAGGCCCCUUGUUUAUUUUUGAUAUUUCUUUGACAUUU